This is a long non-coding RNA of Cyprinus carpio carpio, 1821 nucleotides long. The record is from Ensembl. NCBI's taxonomy places the organism in Eukaryota, Metazoa, Chordata, Actinopteri, Cypriniformes, Cyprinidae.
UUUUGGAAAUUUCCUACCGUAAAUAUAUCAAAACUUAAUUUUUGAUUAGUAAUAUGCAUUGCUAAGAACUUCAUUUGAACAACUUUAAAGAUGAUUUUCUCAAUAUUUAGAUUUUUUUGCUCCCUCAGAUUCCAGAUUUUCAAAUAUUGUCCUCCUAACAAACCACACAUCAAUGAAAACAUACAAUUUGUAAGUAAAACAUCACUACGAAGCCCUGGAGCACUUAAGUAGAUCAUACACACUCAUAAAUUCAGUUUUGCCACCAAUUCUUCAAAUCAGAGAAUACUUACAAGGUUCUGAAGUUGGACUUUGAGUCAGCUAUGGCACGCAGCAUUGGCAUUGCUAAACUCUAUUCCUUAAGGCCCAGGUAUACUUCACUUUCUGCCUUCUGUUCUGUCUCAUGCUUUCAAAGUACAGUCAAACGUGGAUGAGCGUGCAUGGAUGAGUUCUCAACAUUCACCUUGUGCCUGUGCUGUUGCAGACCAUCACGGAAUGAGAACGGCUGAAGUGUACUUGGGGUCUUAAACUAUUUAAUCCCACCAGUCACGUUAGUGACCGUAAAGAAGGUGUUCAUUUAUAAAGCUCUAAAAAUCUUACUCACUGAUGAUUUAGUGCAUUUUAUGCAAAUAUGGAAAAAUAAAGGGUCUCACUUAAAUAUGUGCAGUGUCACAUGGUUAGUGCAAACUGUCACAAGACCAGAGUAGUUUGCUUCCUGUUUGCACCAUGAGAAGAUAAUAAUUGCAUCAAAGCUCCAAAACAAAAGGCUAGUAAACUAUGUUAAAGAUAUGAAAAAGAUUUUUGGACAACAUUAUCUUUAACAAUUAUUUAGUUUUGAUGAGUGUGGGCAAAGAAUGAGUAAACGUGUUGAUGGUCACUAUUGUGACCGGUGGGAUAAUACAAAGCAUUUAGGUAUACACAUAAAUCCAAUAGCAGUUGUUUGUAAAGGUUGCACUAAAAUGUUGCAAUGACAAAAUAUUGCACUAAAUUAAAAGUUUAAAUGUUACAAAUAAGUUACAAUUUUUGUAACUGGUAUGUUGUAAUACUGGUAGCACUAAUAUAAUAAUUUUAUGAUACUGUAUGUGUUUGUAUUUUUUGUAUUUUUCCUAUCAGUGUUGUAAAAGGGUUUUUGCAUAAUAGUAACCCUAGAAUGUUAUGAAAGUUUAAAAUAGCUAGGCUGGAAUAUAUACAAAUUUUGAUAACUGCAGAAAUAUGUUACACAUUAUACACAUUAUCACAAUCGUGACUGGCCAUAAAACACAAUUUUUCACACACUUAUCUAAAGCAUUUCCACAAAAUAAUUAUUGAUUAUUUCAAAGGGCUGCUAAUGACACAUCAUCUGGAUAUUUUCAUGACUGGAAGAAAUUUGGGAUUAAACGGGUUAAUGUGCAAUUAGAUUUACCACUGUGCUGUGAAAUGUUGUGGAAUAUUUGAAAUUCCAUUAAUUUCAAUAAGAAUCUGUGCGAGUUCCCGAUGCAGAUUCAAGUUGGUCAUGCAAAUUUACUGUGAUCAACAGAAAGCUGCUUGGUUUGAAUGUGACUACUGUGCUUCACACAUCACUGUUUAUUGCCCAAGAAAUAUCACUAAUGUAACCGCAAGUUUAUCAGUCGUAUGAAAAUGUUAAUACUCAUUACAUUAUGUAUUACUCUCGCCACGGGCGAGAGCGCUUCAAGACAACGCAUUUUCACACACGCUGGCUUGUGCUAAACUUUCUGAACACUCGGUAAUUACAGGCGCAGGGUGUCUGAGGUGAUGUGACAGCCACUCAUCUGUCGCCUGCGCUUCAGUCAUGUCCUCAGCCCUCCGCGGACACAGAGACACAUC